RNAcentral lists this unclassified non-coding RNA (2572 nucleotides) under Orbicella faveolata. Its description in RNAcentral is "uromodulin-like, transcript variant X1". The record is from RNAcentral. Lineage: Eukaryota; Metazoa; Cnidaria; Anthozoa; Scleractinia; Merulinidae.
GAUGGCUAGAGUGUUCUAACUGCACUGGUAAAACGUAAGAUCUCGAAGAAGACAAGAUGGCUCGCAGAGGAAACGCAAUCUGCAGCACAUUUGCGGUUAUCUUGAUCAUGAUCUCACAACAGACCUGUGUUCAGUCUACUGUGAAUUAUGUGCGCGUUGGAUGUUUUAAAGACAAACCUGAUCGUCGAGCAAUGACACUUCUUGCAAGUUACCGAAAUCCUGAAGACAACACAAUGGACUGGAAUGACUUGAAAACAUCUGUGGUCGACAAAUGCGCUCGCAAGGCGAAAGAAAACGGAUCGACAUUUUUUGGUAUCCAGUAUUUCGGGGAAUGCUGGGGUCUGCCUGGUCAAUAUAAUCAAUACGGAGUAUCUCUAAACUGCCAAUCCAUAGGAGGAGCUUUCGUGGGGCGAAACUAUGCAAACUAUGUUUAUAUGCUGACUGAAGGUGAGUGCACAAAUUACGAAAUCCUGAACAACUUCACAAGGUCUCGUAACUAUACUCGUUUUCUAAAUCGAUGUGAUUCUUUCAACUACGGCUGGAAAAGUGGAUGGUACAGGUUUGACGGGGCAUCCGGAAAGCUGAUGGCCAACAGCUGUGUCUCUUACGGUCAUUGUGGAACACACCAAACCGGCUGGUUUAAUGGGAGACUACCUCGGGUCGCAGAGGGAAAAAUACCCGCAUGGGUGUGCUUUAACGACCGAAGUAGUUGCUGUAAUGAUAAGACAAAGCUUCAAAUUUCUGUACGUCGAUGUGAUGGUUUCUACGUAUACAACUUGCCCAGGUCGACAAAUGGAUGUUUCAAAGCUUAUUGUGGAAAUGGUCCUUAGAGGGAAACCACGGCAAAUGAAACAAAACAUGUCAACGCCUCCUAUAAAACAAGACCAAAAACCGUGAAGGAAAAAUACUUAAACUUGUAAUCUGCUAAAGUAUGGGAUGAAAUAAAAUAAACAAUGAUGAAAUCUCGAUUGAACGAUCAGUACUGACUGGGUUGUGUACAAGAAUCAGGCUUUAUAAAGCCGAACAGCAUUGAGAGAAAAGCGGUAUGAGAAAGAGCAGUCCCCAAUCUUUUUAUUUUCAUCUCCAUUUUACGGGCCAAACUGGGAGCCUGUAACAAGAGACAAUAAAAACAACUGACCUCAAGUUUUGCAUAUCGUCUGAUGGAAAGUAAUCACCAUAAUACACGCUAACAACUUCAUCUUUCGCCUUGCCUACAUGUAUAAGGCCUUAGUACUUGACCGCGCCCACGCAAAUUAAUUUUUUAUCCGUUGGUGAGUUGUGACGACAAUUAGGAAUUAAUACUUUGUCUUUAUGUCGCAUUUUAAUUUUAAGGGUGGUUUCAAGCGUUCGACGGAAAAGAUCGAGUAACGAGAUUAGUCGCGCUUAGAAUAUUUAGGUGAUAAAGAUGAUUUCUUUCGAUUUAGGAAUCACACUUUGUGGCUAAAGGCGUUUCAAGGGAAAUAAACACAUUGCUUUCUAAAUUUAAUCGUAUAUUUUAGUAAGAAAUGGGGCUUUUCCAAUUUGUCGUCAUUGGCCUAGAAACCAGCGACUGAUUAGCUAAACCUUUGAGAUUUUCUCCGCUGAAAUCACCGUUCCAUUCACAAUUUUCUCCCAGAAUCUCCGGAAUUUUCGGUUGCAUGGUUUCGGAAAUUCAUUAGUUCGCGAAUCCCCUGAGAAAUUGCCAUACCAUUCGCUCCGUUGCUCCCCAAAUUUCCGGCAGUUUUGGUUCAAUACAAUUUUUGGAUUAACGUCGGGAACCUGGGGUACAGUACAGUUUGUAGUUUCCAGGCUUCAACGAGCGCUUAUUCCAAGAUGGCGACUUUGUUACAUGUGCAAUGAGGUUCCAAUUGGAAGCCUUUUCAACUAGUCAAUUCCAUCAUAACUUGCGAUCAACGCCUGAUAAGUGGCUAGCUGAGAAGUCUGCUGACUGAUUUCAAAAUGUUUACAGUUACAGGACGACUUCCAACGGAGAAUUCCAAGUGGCAUUUGGAAAAUGCAGGCGUCCCAAACUCACGAUAGAAUUUAACACCUCAAAAAAACCCCAAAACGAUGAAAUAGGCCAAAUGGACAACAGAAACCAGGCAUGGUGAUAAAAAGGAGAAGCAAAUCCUAAUUCAAGUCCUUGCUUCAUCCUGCAUGUGAUGGCGCUGUCCAAGAAGAAAACAAGUUGUAAGAGACAUAGAUCACAAGAUCAAGGACUGGGGACCCAGGACCUUGGACUCAGGACAGAGGACCCAGGACGGAGGACCCAACUCAGAGGGCCCAGGACAGAGGACCCAGGACAGAGGACCAAGGACUCAGAACAGAGGAUCAAGAAGCAAGGAUAUGACUGAUGACUGAUAACUGGGGAUCAAGGACAGUGGAUGAAAGCAAGCUUUGGAUGACGACCUUUCAUAAGUUGAAUUAUAGAUAUAUUAAGGUAUAUAAGAUAUUACCGACAGCAGAGAUAGCACAGUACACCUUGCCUCGAGGGUUUUUCUCCGGGUACUCCGGUUUCCUUCACUCCUGAAAAACCAGUAUUUUCAAAUUCCAAUUUAACAAAAUUGGCGACACAUUGCUGUGGGUUGAUUCA